UGAUGGUUUGCUUCUGACUUCAGUUUC
RNAcentral lists this non-coding RNA (27 nucleotides) under Mus musculus (house mouse). Lineage: Eukaryota; Metazoa; Chordata; Mammalia; Rodentia; Muridae. The record is from RNAcentral.